Long non-coding RNA from Gasterosteus aculeatus aculeatus (three-spined stickleback), 2430 nucleotides. Lineage: Eukaryota; Metazoa; Chordata; Actinopteri; Perciformes; Gasterosteidae. The record is from Ensembl.
CUGAAAAAUGGGAGGGGGGGAUUGGAUAUGUCAACAAUAUGUCAAGUGACAUUCUAUACUUACGGUUAUAGUGAAAUAUAUGAUUAAAGAGUGAAAAAGUAAAGGGCAUCUGGCCCACACCUGAUUUGAGUUUGAGAUCAUGGUCUAGACUCUACACUAUGUGAAAAAACAAGGCAAUUGCUAUAAUCAUAAUCAAUGUGUUUGGUCCGUCCUAGAUCCUGCAGGCAGAACACGAUGAGCAACCUGAGUGGGAAUCUCUUGGCACCUCACAAUUCGAUUCCGAUUCAGAGGUCAACUAUUAGUUUCUAAACCGAUUAUCGAUUAUCAAUUCUAAGUCGAUAAGACGAUUAUCGAUGCAUCUCGAUUUUUAAAACAUUUCAGUUUGCUACUCAGUCUCAAAUCUGAGUUUGCUACUAAAUCUGAGGUUGCUAUUUACUUCCUACUUUGUUUGAUAAUUAAAGAAAAUCAACAGAUACAUUUAAUCUUUUUUAUGAGAAAAUAUGGCUUUCUAUCAACAAUGCAAUAACCAAUGCAGCUUUCAUUUGAACACAAUAUGGGUUGCCUCUACUGGACAUACGCUAAUUGAGAUUCAUUGAACAAACACUGGUUUGUUUUCCUUCCUCAGCAGAUGGAUUUAACUCAUAAUUGUCCCUCCCUCUUUGCUGUAGCAGCUAAUGUUACAAACAUAUAUUAUGCAUGCUUGCUUUUCACUCCAGCUGUCUGUUUAGGUAGAUAGUCAUGGUUCAUAUCUAAUCGCAGAACAUACUUUGGAAAGAAAGAGGCAUGUGGAGACCUGAUCAGGUGCGGCUACAUGUGUGUGGCAGCGGCUUGUUUGGAUCAUUUGUUCUGCCUCUGCAUUGCGUUAUCAUAAAGGUGUAGUCUGGAGUUUUUUUAACUUUCGAGAUGAAUGACUACACAGAUAGCUUCAGACAAGGACAAUAAUAGUUUCUUGUUUGCAAUGAUUAGAGAUAUAUAUAUAAAAAGUAUUCGUUAGGACAGGCCUUUACUUAGAAGCAAACCAACUCAAGACAAUAACAAAACGACCGACUACACUAAGAAAUUAGUUCCAGUGACGGACUGGGUUUUACUUUGAUGUCUUUAUUAAUUUGUUCAAAGUCCGAUGGAUGAUCUCCAUUUUCAAGUUUUAUAAUAGUCGUUUCACGCUGGCUAGACAGAAAUAGCCGUUAUAUAUAUUUACACUACGAAAAAAUGUCUUUUGUGCAGAAACAGGAUCAUCAAGUUUUACAGUCCGUGAAGUAAAGACAGACACGUCUCACCCCUGGAUGAGCUGUCAUGGGAGGGCCCGUGCUGUCUUUUAUGAGAGUGUCUGAAGCGUGGAUCGGUUUCAGUGGACACCUCUGAAUGUCAGGAGGGUGGAAACAUAAUGUGAAGCUCUGUUUAACCAGUGGAUUUGGGUACCUACUUCACUGGUAGAAAUGAGUCAGCAUCCUCAUUUUAACACAUAUUUGUGGUGUGAGAGGUGAUUAAUAGUGUUGCCAACGGUGCUUGAACUUGGGAGAACGGAGUAAAAACUGCAGUCAUGGUUACAGGGUUACCAAGGGAACAAAGCCAGCACAGAUGAGUGGUCCUAUCCACUCUAAAAAAAAUAUAUAUAUAUAUAUCACAGCUUGGACUCAUUUUCAUUUACUUCAGAUGGUAAGAUAAAAUGUUAAUAGGCUGAAUUCAGAAAUACACUCUUUUGUGUUCACAAAAAUAGCAUCUUGUCAGGUCUCAAAAACAUGUCAUCUAAUUAUCAUCAAUAUUAAAACUCUGAAAUGAGACAUAAGAAGAGAGCAACAUCUGGUCUGCAUUAAUUCAUUACAUGAUGCUAUAUGGAGACAGUGCAGAGGACCGCCAUGUCCAGCAAAUACAGUGACUCACCACUGUGAGUUCAAAAACAUGCAAACAAGACAGAGACCCAACUCGCCCCAAGGUACGAAUGUAGGACGAUGCUCUUUCCAGGGCGUUUCCCCCUCUUGAACGACACUCACGUAGGAUGGAAUGUAGAAACACCUUUUUAUUCAAAAUGUUAUAGAGGCUAUAUUAAAUGCACACAAAAACAAACAUACAAGGUGCACCAAGGUUUAGUUAAAGUACGACCUAGUCAGAGUGAGGCCUGUUAGAAAACCCACUGUGUUCUUAACUGUCAUCAGAUUUUCCUUCUUUGAAAUUUAUUUGAGAAUGUUCUUCUGCUAGAUACUUCCUGAAGUCAAAGUCACAUAUUUCCAGCAAAAUCAGUGUGUGCUAACUAAAUGUGUCAAGAAACAAGAACACAAACUUGACAGGACUGUCCCCUUUCCCACAUUAAUAGUAGUUUUUUAAGAGUAAAUUAUCCACUAAUCUGACAGUUUAAUGCAAAAAAGCACUUCCCGACAUUUAUAUGACUAUUUUGUUUACUAUGUUGUUACUUAUUCAACAUUAGCAGGGUGC